Molecule: long non-coding RNA, 872 nt
Organism: Apis mellifera (honey bee)
Lineage: Eukaryota; Metazoa; Arthropoda; Insecta; Hymenoptera; Apidae
Exons: 2
Source: RefSeq, a predicted model, not a curated record
UAUUCAUUUCGCAAAAUACAGAAAAUUUAACCGGGUAGCAACGACUUUCGACUUGGCCAGACUUUUGCUACCACACGAACCGGUUGGCUCCAACCAAGGUCGUAGUCGUUGAUUUACACACACACGGUUGGACGACGAAUUAAUUAUCGCCGGGACGAACCAGUCGAUUCGGUUCCCCCAAAUAUCCGGAAUUCGACGUGGCGGGCACAAGGGGACACGGUCGAUUAACGCUCGCCAAAUAAAUAAUCCCCGGCCGAUAAAACGAACGAUUGCGCAAGAAUCCACGGCCGACGCGCCCUCUCCCCCUUUUCAGGCCAUAAAUCACUUACGAAUUAACCCCUCUAAUUGGUACGGUGGUAUUUAAAUCGACGACGGAGUUGGUAACCACGGAGCGGAGAAUGCGGACGCGUUCUGUAAGCCGAGGACGCGUUUUUACGCGGUCGAUUUAAUUCCCCCGUUUAUAAUUAAGUCGACGCUUCCUCGUCACCAACAGCUGGAUUCUGGGAUAAUUCUGGUGUGCAUGGGAUAAUUAGAAUUUUCAAUUUAGAACGGGUGGAAAUGAGUUCGUGAACUGUGAAUAUUCGCGAAGGAUGAAGAUUCAAGUUUAAAGGGACGAGAGGGAAUCCAUGGUGGAAGAUGGAGUCAAGAGAAGAUGAUUGUGUCUGUAUACAGAGUGUCGUGAUUUUUAACUGGCAAUUGUCAGUAUAUUGUUCUAAUAGAUGAGAGAAAAAUAUUAUACGUGAAUGAAUAUUCAUGAUAUAAUGGUGGUGAUUUAUAUUCGAUUGUAACUGAUGUUGAAAUGAGGCAGUAAUUUUGCAAAUUUGUAAUUGCAAUUAAUAACUGUAAUAAAAUUUAAAUAGUGGAGAUUUGUA